CGGUGUAGUAGAAUUUCUGACCUUUGACCUAUAGUUCAUGUCUGUCAAAAAUGUAUGCUCAUUUUGAUUUCUCUUCCUCUUCUGUGGGACAAAAGUGAACUUUAAGUCAUGCCAACCUGUCUAGUGAAUGUGUUGACUGUCUAAAAGAUUCGAGUUGCUAUGGAACAGAUAGGGAAAACAAAAUAAGACAUUGACGCACUAACAAGAGAGAUAAGAAAGGGAUAAAGCCAAACGAAGAGAGUGUUUUGGGCACCAUCUUCUUUUUCAUGGUGACGGGCGCGCCCGGGGGGGAAACUUUCUGUGUGCUAGACAACUCAACCCAACCAUUGUACCAUUUGAUUAUGAGUAAAAUAAAACUCUUGUGUUAAAUCUACUUUGGUUCUCAUUGACAACCUGGACUUUCCACUACAAAAUUGGCGUCACGAACAGGAUGGUCCAGAACUCUGCAAAUCAACAUCCGCUCCCGGCUUCUCUCUCAGGCAGACAACGCUUGCACGCGCGCAUCUAAUAAAAGAAGGAACUUCCUGAUGUUGCCUGACAGCACGACAUCAGCUGACAACUACUAGGGACGCCUCCCAGGAACGAGUGGAGGACGGGGACUGCUCCUACUGUCCUAGCACUGGCUGACGGAGUCACAAGAUCAGCACUUCUCAGGACCAGCAGCUUCCUAGGAAGGUGGAAAGACCAUGAGACCAAAAUGGUAAGUUUGCAAAAUGUAGAAUUUGUGUGCCAGUUCCUCUGUGCAGAUUUGAGGAUGAAAGCAGCCACUCCAGAUUCCCUUGCACUCGCUAAGAGGGGCACGGUCAAAGCCAAUCCAGGACCAACACCCGAUACCUGACUGGAAGGAACCGAGAGGAGAGACAACACCUUGCCAGCGAUGACGAGAACAACUAACGUUGCCAGCCAAUGUGUCCACCGGGACUCCAGCAGCUGUGGAAAGAAGUGUCGGGAGUGCCGAAGCAGCGAGGAGGCGUUGAAGCAAGCCGAGGGCCUGGACCAAAGCCCCAACGCCCCAUACUUUGCCCCGCCUUCCCCAAAGCCCCAUACUUUUCCCCAAUUUCGGCCAGCACGGACAUGCCAUUAAACAGUCUGCCCAAUGGACUGAACCACACCCCAAGAACAGACAGAGACAGACUGUUUGAGUGGAUCUCUUUCUUCACCAAGGCAGCCAAAAGCCCAACGAGGUGUCGGCAGGCCACCAGCCUGAGGCACCACCGAGCCAUCCAUACGAGCACUAAUCGAACAUGGACUCAUACGAAAUUCAGUUGUGUGUACAAAAUCAAUUGGUAACUACAUUCAUUGCAAAUGCCGGGAAAAAUAAUAAUGCAACAGCUUACAGUCAUAAGUCUAUAUUAAUUCUAAACCAGAUCUUGUUUGAUUCAUUAUUAAUGUGAAAAUACAUCUUGAAUAAGCAUAUAUAUAUUCAUCUAAUUAUGUUCAUGAUCAAAGUAUUUUGGUAUUACGUUACUAACUCAAAGGGUAGGCCACUAAUUGUGUUCUGUGAGAUGGUUUUACUGCAGGCUGGUAACAGCGAUCGCUCUGAAGGAGGGUCAUAGACGGAAUUUUUGCCUCGUAUAAAAACAUUGAGGUUUUUGCCUCUAUCUGCGGUAGAGAUUUAAUUUAGUGGUCUAUAUCAGAAAUUGUUUUGGUCCAGGGUCUUAAGACCCUGGAAGGCGGGUAUGUAGUAGAAUUUCUGACCUUUGACCUAUAGUUCAUGUCUGUCAAAAAUGUAUGCUCAUUUUGAUUUCUCUUCCUCUUCUGUGGGACAAAAGUGAACUUUAAGUCAUGCCAACCUGUCUAGUGAAUGUGUUGACUGUCUAAAAGAUUCGAGUUGCUAUGGAACAGAUAGGGAAAACAAAAUAAGACAUUGACGCACUAACAAGAGAGAUAAGAAAGGGAUAAAGCCAAACGAAGAGAGUGUUUUGGGCACCAUCUUCUUUUUCAUGGUGACGGGCGCGCCCGGGGGGGAAACUUUCUGUGUGCUAGACAACUCAACCCAACCAUUGUACCAUUUGAUUAUGAGUAAAAUAAAACUC
Entelurus aequoreus (snake pipefish) is the source of this 2036-nucleotide long non-coding RNA. RefSeq lists it as uncharacterized. The record is from RefSeq and is a predicted model, not a curated record. The transcript is spliced from 3 exons. Lineage: Eukaryota; Metazoa; Chordata; Actinopteri; Syngnathiformes; Syngnathidae.